UGGGGAAUUUUGCGCAAUGGGCGAAAGCCUGACGCAGCAACGCCGCGUGUGUGAUGAAGGUCUUCGGAUUGUAAAGCACUUUCGACCGGGACGAAAACCCGUUGGCUAACAUCCAACGGCUUGACGGUACCGGGAGAAGAAGCACCGGCUAACUCUGUGCCAGCAGCCGCGGUAAUACAGAGGGUGCAAGCGUUGUUCGGAAUUAUUGGGCGUAAAGCGCGUGUAGGCGGCUUUGCAAGUCGGGUGUGAAAGCCCUCAGCUCAACUGAGGAAGUGCGCCCGAAACUGCAGAGCUUGAGUGCCGGAGAGGGUGGCGGAAUUCCCCAAGUAGAGGUGAAAUUCGUAGAUAUGGGGAGGAACACCGGUGGCGAAGGCGGCCACCUGGACGGUAACUGACGCUGAGACGCGAAAGCGUGGGGAGCGAAAACAGGAUUAGAUACCCUGGUAGUCCACGCCGUAAACGAUGAGAACUAGGUGUCGUGGGUGUUGACCCCCGCGGUGCCGUAGCUAACG
This 512-nucleotide ribosomal RNA is filed under the name uncultured Pseudomonadota bacterium. RNAcentral's name for it is "bacterial SSU rRNA". It matches the Rfam family "Bacterial small subunit ribosomal RNA", at positions 355 to 857 of the family's 1533-position model. The record is from RNAcentral. Lineage: Bacteria; Pseudomonadati; Pseudomonadota.